Vigna radiata var. radiata (mung bean) is the source of this 417-nucleotide long non-coding RNA. RefSeq lists it as uncharacterized. The record is from RefSeq and is a predicted model, not a curated record. The transcript has 4 exons. NCBI's taxonomy places the organism in Eukaryota, Viridiplantae, Streptophyta, Magnoliopsida, Fabales, Fabaceae.
GAAAAGGAGCUGCUUGGAAAUGCACAUGUGACAGCAAGUGAGGAGAGGAAACAUAGCUAAUAUAUUUAAGUGCUAAUUUUAAAAAGAGCUUCUCAUUUGGUCUAAAAACGUGUAGCUUAGGAAAUCUUGACGGUGUGGGCUUUCAUUCAACUGACUGGUUUCCUGUUUCCUUUAACUGGUGAUUUUAGUUUUCCUUAAGGUGAAAUUUAGCGUUUGGGGGUUUUUUGUGUCUUGAACUAUUCGACUGAGAGGCAGAAGAUGUUCCCCUAGAGCAAGCUUUGGAGCCAGAGGAUCCAACCACUACCUCUUAGGACUCUUUCUAUUAGACUCCUUUCUAUAUUUUGAAAAACUUUGUAGCUUAUAUGCAACACCUAGUUUAUAUUAUUACUCUUAGAUUUUUUCCAUUAUUUGAAAGAC